Molecule: ribosomal RNA, 360 nt
Filed under: Carabus melancholicus costatus
Lineage: Eukaryota; Metazoa; Arthropoda; Insecta; Coleoptera; Carabidae
Description: partial 12S ribosomal RNA
Source: RNAcentral
UUUAAAUGUAAAAUAAAUAUACUAAAGUAGUAUUAGUUAUGUUCUUGAAAUUUAAAGAUUUUGGCGGUAUUUUAGUCUAUUUAGAGGAGCCUGUUCUAUGAUUGAUAAUCCACGAUUAAUUUUACUUAAUUUAAAUAAGUUUGUAUACCGUCGUUAUAAGAAGAUUUUAAAAGAAUAUAAAUUUUUAAUAUUUUAAAUAAAAAAAUAUAUCAGAUCAAGGUGCAGUUUAUAAUUAAGAAGAAAUGGGCUACAAUAAAUUUAUUUAAUUAGACGGAUUAAAGUGAGAAUUUUAACUUUAUGAAGGUGGAUUUAAUAGUAAUAGAAUUAAUCUAAAUUUUAUGAUUUUAGCUCUAAAAUAUG